This 253-nucleotide ribosomal RNA is filed under the name uncultured bacterium. RNAcentral's name for it is "partial 16S ribosomal RNA". It matches the Rfam family "Bacterial small subunit ribosomal RNA", at positions 524 to 776 of the family's 1533-position model. The record is from RNAcentral.
UACGUAGGGUGCAAGCGUUAUCCGGAAUUAUUGGGCGUAAAGAGCUCGUAGGCGGUUUGUCGCGUCUGCUGUGAAAACCGGAGGCUCAACCUCCGGCCUGCAGUGGGUACGGGCAAACUAGAGUGCGGUAGGGGAGGUUGGAAUUCCUGGUGUAGCGGUGGAAUGCGCAGAUAUCAGGAGGAACACCGAUGGCGAAGGCAGAUCUCUGGGCCGUAACUGACGCUGAGGAGCGAAAGCGUGGGGAGCGAACAGG